RNAcentral lists this ribosomal RNA (478 nucleotides) under uncultured Planctomycetales bacterium. Its description in RNAcentral is "bacterial SSU rRNA". It matches the Rfam family "Bacterial small subunit ribosomal RNA", at positions 364 to 832 of the family's 1533-position model. The record is from RNAcentral. Lineage: Bacteria; Pseudomonadati; Planctomycetota; Planctomycetia; Planctomycetales.
UUUCGCAAUGCCCGAAAGGGUGACGAAGCGACGCCGCGUGUGGGAAGAAGGCCUUCGGGUUGUAAACCACUGUCGGGAGUUAGGAAAUGCAGGUGCGUUAAUAGCGCACUUGCUUGACUAAGGCUCCAGAGGAAGCCACGGCUAACUCUGUGCCAGCAGCCGCGGUAAUACAGAGGCGGCAAGCGUUGUUCGGAAUUAUUGGGCGUAAGGAGCACGUAGGCGGUCUUGCAAGUCAGUUGUGAAAGCCUUCCGCUUAACGGAAGAACGGCAUCUGAUACUACAGGGCUUGAGUACGGGAGGGGAGAGUGGAACUUCUGGUGGAGCGGUGAAAUGCGUAGAUAUCAGAAGGAACGCCGGCGGCGAAAGCGACUCUCUGGUCCGAAACUGACGCUGAGUGUGCGAAAGCUAGGGGAGCAAACGGGAUUAGAUACCCCGGUAGUCCUAGCCGUAAACGAUGGGCACUAAGUAGAGGGGUUUU